RNAcentral lists this ribosomal RNA (305 nucleotides) under uncultured bacterium. RNAcentral's name for it is "bacterial SSU rRNA". It matches the Rfam family "Bacterial small subunit ribosomal RNA", at positions 337 to 634 of the family's 1533-position model. The record is from RNAcentral.
GCCUACGGGACGCAGCAGUGGGGAAUAUUGCGCAAUGGGCGAAAGCCUGACGCAGCGACGCCGCGUGAGUGAUGAAGGUCUUCGGAUCGUAAACCUCUGUCAGCAGGGAAGAACGGUCACUGUGCUAAUCAGCAGUGCAUUGACGGUACCUGCAAAGGAAGCACCGGCUAACUCCGUGCCAGCAGCCGCGGUAAUACGGAGGGUGCGAGCGUUAAUCGGAAUUACUGGGCGUAAAGCGCUCGUAGGCGGUAUGUCAAGUCAGGGGUGAAAUCCCCGCGCUCAACCUGGGAACUGCCUUUGAAACU